GCCUUCGGGGUGUAACAGUAGCACACUGGGCCCAUAUUCGAGAGGUUCAGGGUUCGAGUCCCGGCGAGGGCA
This 72-nucleotide transfer RNA is filed under the name Stegodyphus mimosarum. It matches the Rfam family "tRNA". From Rfam's summary of the family: Transfer RNA (tRNA) molecules are approximately 80 nucleotides in length. Their secondary structure includes four short double-helical elements and three loops (D, anti-codon, and T loops). Further hydrogen bonds mediate the characteristic L-shaped molecular structure. tRNAs have two regions of fundamental functional importance: the anti-codon, which is responsible for specific mRNA codon recognition, and the 3' end, to which the tRNAs corresponding amino acid is attached (by aminoacyl-tRNA synthetases). tRNAs cope with the degeneracy of the genetic code in two manners: having more than one tRNA (with a specific anti-codon) for a particular amino acid; and 'wobble' base-pairing, i.e. permitting non-standard base-pairing at the 3rd anti-codon position. The record is from Rfam by way of RNAcentral. Lineage: Eukaryota; Metazoa; Arthropoda; Arachnida; Araneae; Eresidae.